AUACGGAGGGGGCAAGCGUUAUUCGGAUUUACUGGGCGUAAAGCGUGUGUAGGCGGUUGCGUAAGUCUGAUGUGAAAUCUUCACCGCUCAACGGGAAGAGGUCAUUGGAAACUGCGUAACUAGAGUGUGGAAGAGGCAAGCGGAAUUCCUGGUGGAGCGGUGGAAUGUGCAGAUAUCAGGAAGAACACCGGUGGCGAAGGCGGCUUGCUGGGCCAUUACUGACGCUGAGACACGAAAGCGUGGGGAGCGAACGGGAUUAGAUACCCCGGUAGUCCACGCCGUAAACGGUGCGCACUAGGUGUGGAGGGUAUCGACCCCCUCUGUGCCGAAGUUAACACAUUAAGUGCGCCGCCUGGGAAGUACGACCGCAAGGUUGAA
RNAcentral lists this ribosomal RNA (378 nucleotides) under uncultured bacterium. RNAcentral's name for it is "bacterial SSU rRNA". It matches the Rfam family "Bacterial small subunit ribosomal RNA", at positions 523 to 898 of the family's 1533-position model. The record is from RNAcentral.